RNAcentral lists this ribosomal RNA (506 nucleotides) under uncultured bacterium. RNAcentral's name for it is "partial 16S ribosomal RNA". It matches the Rfam family "Bacterial small subunit ribosomal RNA", at positions 29 to 523 of the family's 1533-position model. The record is from RNAcentral.
AGUGAACGCUGGCGGUAGGCCUAACACAUGCAAGUCGAACGGCAGCACAGGAGAGCUAGCUCUCUGGGUGGCGAGUGGCGGACGGGUGAGGAAUACAUCGGAAUCUACUUUUUCGUGGGGGAUAACGUAGGGAAACUUACGCUAAUACCGCAUACGACCUACGGGCGAAAGCAGGGGACCUUCGGGCCUUGCGCGAUUGAAUGAGCCGAUGUCGGAUUAGCUAGUUGGCGGGGUAAAGGCCCACCAAGGCGACGAUCCGUAGCUGGUCUGAGAGGAUGAUCAGCCACACUGGAACUGAGACACGGUCCAGACUCCUACGGGAGGCAGCAGUGGGGAAUAUUGGACAAUGGGCGCAAGCCUGAUCCAGCCAUACCGCGUGGGUGAAGAAGGCCUUCGGGUUGUAAAGCCCUUUUGUUGGGAAAGAAAUCCAGCUGGCUAAUACCCGGUUGGGAUGACGGUACCCAAAGAAUAAGCACCGGCUAACUUCGUGCCAGCCGCCGCAGUAA